Small nucleolar RNA from Ornithorhynchus anatinus (platypus), 199 nucleotides. RefSeq annotates it as small nucleolar RNA SNORD97. NCBI's taxonomy places the organism in Eukaryota, Metazoa, Chordata, Mammalia, Monotremata, Ornithorhynchidae. The record is from RefSeq and is a predicted model, not a curated record. The transcript has a single exon.
CUGCCCAAUGAUUACAGAAAGACGCGUUAUUACGAGGACUUAUGCUGGAACUCUGCUUUCUGACCUUUUCUUUUUUCCUCUCUUCCCCACCCUCUGCUCCACCUGCCUUCAUUCUUCUCUCCUCCCCCCCCCCCCCCCCCCCCCCCCCCCACCUUGGGUGUCCAGCGUCCUAUGAGCAAGAUUUGAGAUAUGAGGGCAA